UACGUAGGGUCCGAGCGUUGUCCGGAAUUACUGGGCGUAAAGAGCUCGUAGGUGGUUUGUCGCGUUGUCCGUGAAAACUCACAGCUCAACUGUGGGCGUGCGGGCGAUACGGGCAGACUGGAGUACUGCAGGGGAGACUGGAAUUCCUGGUGUAGCGGUGAAAUGCGCAGAUAUCAGGAAGAACACCCGUGGCGAAGGCGGCUCUCUGGGACGGUACUGACGCUGAGACGCGAAAGCGUGGGGAGCGAACAGG
Molecule: ribosomal RNA, 253 nt
Filed under: uncultured bacterium
Lineage: Bacteria
Description: partial 16S ribosomal RNA
Rfam family: Bacterial small subunit ribosomal RNA
Source: RNAcentral